UUUAUCGGAGAGUUUGAUCCUGGCUCAGGACGAACGCUGGCGGCGUGCCUAAUACAUGCAAGUCGAGCGGACUUGAUAGGAGCUUGCUUCUAUUCAAGUUAGCGGCGGACGGGUGAGUAACACGUGGGUAACCUGCCUGUAAGACUGGGAUAACUCCGGGAAACCGGGGCUAAUACCGGAUAAGUUCUUUCUCCGCAUGGAGAAGGAUUGAAAGAUGGUUUCGGCUAUCACUUACAGAUGGACCCGCGGCGCAUUAGCUAGUUGGUGAGGUAAUGGCUCACCAAGGCGACGAUGCGUAGCCGACCUGAGAGGGUGAUCGGCCACACUGGGACUGAGACACGGCCCAGACUCCUACGGGAGGCAGCAGUAGGGAAUCUUCCGCAAUGGACGAAAGUCUGACGGAGCAACGC
RNAcentral lists this ribosomal RNA (410 nucleotides) under Bacillaceae bacterium SAS-127. RNAcentral's name for it is "bacterial SSU rRNA". It matches the Rfam family "Bacterial small subunit ribosomal RNA", at positions 1 to 397 of the family's 1533-position model. The record is from RNAcentral. Lineage: Bacteria; Bacillati; Bacillota; Bacilli; Caryophanales; Bacillaceae.